AGGUUUUUUAUUAAAAUUAUUUAUUUAAUUUUAAAAUUUUUGUAAUAAUGAUAGAAUUAGUAUAUUUAUUUGUAUAUAAUUUUUACCUUGUGAAUUUAUUAUAAGGAACUAGGCAAAAUUGAUUCCCGCCUGUUUAUCAAAAACAUGUCCUCUUGAAAAUACUUUGAAGUCUAGCCUGUUCACUGAGCAGAUUUUUAAAGAGCCGCGUUAUUUUGACCGUGCAAAGGUAGCAUAAUCAUUAGUCUCUUAAUUAGUGGCUGGAAUGAAUGGCUUGACGAGAAAUCAACUGUCUCUUAAUAAAUUUUUGAAUUUAACUUUUGAGUCAAAAGGCUUAAAUUUUUCUUUAGGACGAGAAGAUCCUAUAGAGCUUAACAUUUUAUUUUUAUAUAUUUUUGUUUGUCUUUCUAUAUUUAAUGAUGAUGUUUUGUAGGGGUGACAUGAAGAAUGAAUAAACUCUUCAUUAUUAUAUCAUUUAUUUAUGUUUGUUGUUUUGAUCCAUAAUUUAUGAUCAUAAGAUUAAGUUACCUUAGGGAUAACAGCAUAAUUGUUUUUGAGAGCUCAUAUCGACAAAGCAGAUUGCGACCUCGAUGUUGGAUUAAGAAAAAUUUUGGGUGUAGUAGCCCAGUAAUUAGGUCUGUUCGACCUUUAAAUUCUUACAUGAUCUGAGUUCAGACUGGCGUGAGCCAGGUCGGUUUCUAUCCUAAGAUUAUUAAUUCAUAUUAGUACGAAAGGACCAUUUGGUUGAAAUAUGUUUUAUUUUAUUGAUUAAUAUUAAUUAAAUUA
Schistocerca cancellata (South American locust) is the source of this 783-nucleotide long non-coding RNA. RefSeq lists it as uncharacterized. Lineage: Eukaryota; Metazoa; Arthropoda; Insecta; Orthoptera; Acrididae. The transcript has 2 exons. The record is from RefSeq and is a predicted model, not a curated record.